RNAcentral lists this ribosomal RNA (426 nucleotides) under uncultured Halomonadaceae bacterium. Its description in RNAcentral is "bacterial SSU rRNA". It matches the Rfam family "Bacterial small subunit ribosomal RNA", at positions 355 to 774 of the family's 1533-position model. Lineage: Bacteria; Pseudomonadati; Pseudomonadota; Gammaproteobacteria; Oceanospirillales; Halomonadaceae. The record is from RNAcentral.
UGGGGAAUAUUGGACAAUGGGCGAAAGCCUGAUCCAGCCAUGCCGCGUGUGCGAAGAAGGCCCUCGGGUUGUAAAGCACUUUCAGCGAGGAAGAACGCCUAGGGGUUAAUACCCCCUAGGAAAGACAUCAUUUGCAGAAGAAGCACCGGCUAAAUCCGUGCCAGCAGCCGCGGUAAUACGGCGGGUGCAAGCCUUAAUCGGAAUUACUGGGUGUUAAGCCCGGGUAGGUGGCUUGAUAACCCGGUUGUGAAAGCCCCGGGCUCAACCUGGGAACGGCAUCCGGAACUGUCAAGGUUGAGUGCAGGAGUGGAAGGUAGAAUUCCCGGUGUAGCGGUGAAAUUCUAGAGAUCGGGAGGAAUACCAGUGGCGAAGGCGGCCUUCGGGACCGACAGAGACACUGAGGUGCGAAAGCGUGGGUGGCAACCA